ACUCCUACGGGAGGCAGCAGUAGGGAAUCUUCCACAAUGGGCGCAAGCCUGAUGGAGCAACACCGCGUGAGUGAAGAAGGGUUUCGGCUCGUAAAGCUCUGUUGUUAAAGAAGAACACGUAUGAGAGUAACUGUUCAUACGUUGACGGUAUUUAACCAGAAAGUCACGGCUAACUACGUGCCAGCAGCCGCGGUAAUACGUAGGUGGCAAGCGUUAUCCGGAUUUAUUGGGCGUAAAGAGAGUGCAGGCGGUUUUCUAAGUCUGAUGUGAAAGCCUUCGGCUUAACCGGAGAAGUGCAUCGGAAACUGGAUAACUUGAGUGCAGAAGAGGGUAGUGGAACUCCAUGUGUAGCGGUGGAAUGCGUAGAUAUAUGGAAGAACACCAGUGGCGAAGGCGGCUACCUGGUCUGCAACUGACGCUGAGACUCGAAAGCAUGGGGUAGCGAACA
This 448-nucleotide ribosomal RNA is filed under the name uncultured bacterium. RNAcentral's name for it is "bacterial SSU rRNA". It matches the Rfam family "Bacterial small subunit ribosomal RNA", at positions 335 to 774 of the family's 1533-position model. The record is from RNAcentral.